AGAGAAGGAGCCCAAUGAAACGAAGUUUCAUUAAUACAAAUGGCUCCGACGAAAUGCCGCCGAGCGGAGGCGAGGGGGCAACACCA
RNAcentral lists this small RNA (86 nucleotides) under human gut metagenome. Its description in RNAcentral is "GA-cis RNA". It matches the Rfam family "GA-cis RNA". The record is from RNAcentral.